RNAcentral lists this ribosomal RNA (1441 nucleotides) under Curtobacterium oceanosedimentum. Its description in RNAcentral is "16S ribosomal RNA". It matches the Rfam family "Bacterial small subunit ribosomal RNA". Lineage: Bacteria; Bacillati; Actinomycetota; Actinomycetes; Micrococcales; Microbacteriaceae. The record is from RNAcentral.
GACGAACGCUGGCGGCGUGCUUAACACAUGCAAGUCGAACGAUGAUGCCCAGCUUGCUGGGUGGAUUAGUGGCGAACGGGUGAGUAACACGUGAGUAACCUGCCCCUGACUCUGGGAUAAGCGUUGGAAACGACGUCUAAUACUGGAUAUGAYYACCGGCCGCAUGGUCUGGUGGUGGAAAGAUUUUUUGGUUGGGGAUGGACUCGCGGCCUAUCAGCUUGUUGGUGAGGUAAUGGCUCACCAAGGCGACGACGGGUAGCCGGCCUGAGAGGGUGACCGGCCACACUGGGACUGAGACACGGCCCAGACUCCUACGGGAGGCAGCAGUGGGGAAUAUUGCACAAUGGGCGAAAGCCUGAUGCAGCAACGCCGCGUGAGGGAUGACGGCCUUCGGGUUGUAAACCUCUUUUAGUAGGGAAGAAGCGAAAGUGACGGUACCUGCAGAAAAAGCACCGGCUAACUACGUGCCAGCAGCCGCGGUAAUACGUAGGGUGCAAGCGUUGUCCGGAAUUAUUGGGCGUAAAGAGCUCGUAGGCGGUUUGUCGCGUCUGCUGUGAAAUCCCGAGGCUCAACCUCGGGCUUGCAGUGGGUACGGGCAGACUAGAGUGCGGUAGGGGAGAUUGGAAUUCCUGGUGUAGCGGUGGAAUGCGCAGAUAUCAGGAGGAACACCGAUGGCGAAGGCAGAUCUCUGGGCCGUAACUGACGCUGAGGAGCGAAAGCGUGGGGAGCGAACAGGAUUAGAUACCCUGGUAGUCCACGCCGUAAACGUUGGGCGCUAGAUGUAGGGACCUUUCCACGGUUUCUGUGUCGUAGCUAACGCAUUAAGCGCCCCGCCUGGGGAGUACGGCCGCAAGGCUAAAACUCAAAGGAAUUGACGGGGGCCCGCACAAGCGGCGGAGCAUGCGGAUUAAUUCGAUGCAACGCGAAGAACCUUACCAAGGCUUGACAUACACCGGAAACGGCCAGAGAUGGUCGCCCCCUUGUGGUCGGUGUACAGGUGGUGCAUGGUUGUCGUCAGCUCGUGUCGUGAGAUGUUGGGUUAAGUCCCGCAACGAGCGCAACCCUCGUUCUAUGUUGCCAGCGCGUUAUGGCGGGGACUCAUAGGAGACUGCCGGGGUCAACUCGGAGGAAGGUGGGGAUGACGUCAAAUCAUCAUGCCCCUUAUGUCUUGGGCUUCACGCAUGCUACAAUGGCCGGUACAAAGGGCUGCGAUACCGUAAGGUGGAGCGAAUCCCAAAAAGCCGGUCUCAGUUCGGAUUGAGGUCUGCAACUCGACCUCAUGAAGUCGGAGUCGCUAGUAAUCGCAGAUCAGCAACGCUGCGGUGAAUACGUUCCCGGGCCUUGUACACACCGCCCGUCAAGUCAUGAAAGUCGGUAACACCCGAAGCCGGUGGCCUAACCCUUGUGGAAGGAGCCGUCGAAGGUGGGAUCGGUGAUUAGG